Molecule: ribosomal RNA, 836 nt
Filed under: uncultured bacterium
Lineage: Bacteria
Description: bacterial SSU rRNA
Rfam family: Bacterial small subunit ribosomal RNA
Source: RNAcentral
UCUCUUGAGAGCGGCGGACGGGUGAGUAAUGCCUAGGAAUCUGCCUGGUAGUGGGGGAUAACGUUCGGAAACGGACGCUAAUACCGCAUACGUCCUACGGGAGAAAGCAGGGNNNCUUCGGGCCUUGCGCUAUCAGAUGAGCCUAGGUCGGAUUAGCUAGUUGGUGGGGUAAUGGCUCACCAAGGCGACGAUCCGUAACUGGUCUGAGAGGAUGAUCAGUCACACUGGAACUGAGACACGGUCCAGACUCCUACGGGAGGCAGCAGUGGGGAAUAUUGGACAAUGGGCGAAAGCCUGAUCCAGCCAUGCCGCGUGUGUGAAGAAGGUCUUCGGAUUGUAAAGCACUUUAAGUUGGGAGGAAGGGCCGUUACCUAAUACGUGAUGGUUUUGACGUUACCGACAGAAUAAGCACCGGCUAACUCUGUGCCAGCAGCCGCGGUAAUACAGAGGGUGCAAGCGUUAAUCGGAAUUACUGGGCGUAAAGCGCGCGUAGGUGGUUUGUUAAGUUGGAUGUGAAAUCCCCGGGCUCAACCUGGGAACUGCAUUCAAAACUGACUGACUAGAGUAUGGUAGAGGGUGGUGGAAUUUCCUGUGUAGCGGUGAAAUGCGUAGAUAUAGGAAGGAACACCAGUGGCGAAGGCGACCACCUGGACUGAUACUGACACUGAGGUGCGAAAGCGUGGGGAGCAAACAGGAUUAGAUACCCUGGUAGUCCACGCCGUANACGAUGUCAACUAGCCGUUGGGAGCCUUGAGCUCUUAGUGGCGCAGCUAACGCAUUAAGUUGACCGCCUGGGGAGUACGGCCGCAAGGUUAAAGCUCAAAUGAAUNNNCGGG